UGCCCAUCGUCCCAACUUUCCAUCGCCCCAUCCUCCCAUCGUCCCAUCGCCCCAAAGCCCCAUCACCAUCGCCCAUCGUCAGAUCGUCCCAUUGCCCCAUCGUCCCAAAGCCCCAUCGCCAUCGCCCAUCGUCCCAUCGCCCCAUCGUCCCACCGUCCCAUCGCCCCAUCGUCCCAUCGUCCCAUGUUCCCAUCGCCCCAUCGUCCUAUGUUCCCAUCGCCCCAUCGCCCCACCGCCGCACCGUCCCACCGUCCCAUCGCUCCACCGUCCCAUCGCUCCAUCGCCCCAUCGUCCCAUCGUCCCUUCGUCCCAUCUUCCCAUCCUCCCAUCGCCCCAUCGUCCAUCGUCCCAUCGUCCCAUCGUCCCAAAGCCCCAUCGCCAUCGCCCAUCGUCCCAUCAUCCCACCGUCCCAUCGCCCCACCGCCCCAUCGCCCCACCGCUCCACCGUCCCAUCGCCCCAUCGUCCCAUCGCCCCAUCGUCCCAUCGCCCCAUCGUCCCAUCGCCCCAUCGUCCCAUGUUCCCAUCGCCCCAUCGUCCUAUGUUCCCAUCGCCCCAUCGCCCCACCGCCGCACCGUCCCAUCGCUCCAUCGUCCCAUCGUCCCAUCGUCCCAUCGCCCCAUCGUCCCCAUCGUCCCUCGUCCCCAUCGUCCCAUCUUCCCAUCGUCCCAUCCUCCCAAAGCCCCAUCGCCCAUUACCCAUCGUCCCCUCGUCCCAACUUUCCAUCGUCCCAUCGUCCCAUCGUCCCACCGUCCCAUCGCCCCACUGCCGCACCGUCCCACCGUCCCAAAGCCCCAUCGCCCAUUGACCAUCGUCCCAUCGUCCCAACUUACCAUCGCCCCAUCGUCCCAAAGCCCCAUCGCCAUCGCCCAUCGUCCCAUCGUCCCAUCGCCCCAUCGUCCACCGUCCCAUCGUCCCAUCGUCCAUCGUCCCAUCGCUCCACCGUCCCAUCGUCCCAUCGUUCCAUCGCCCCAUCGUCCUAUGUUCCCAUCGCCCCAUCGCCAUCGCCAUCGUCCCAUCGUCCCAUCGCCCCAUCGUCCCAUCGCCCCAUCGCCCAUUGCCCAUCGUCCCAACUUACCAUCGCCCCAUCGCCCCAUCGUCCCAUCGUCCCAUCGUCCCAUCGUUCCAUCGCCCCAUCGCCCCAUCGCCAUCGCCCAUCGUCCCAUCGCCCCAUCGCCCAUCGUUCCUUCGGUCCAUCGCCCAUCGUCCCAUCGUCCCAACGCCCAUCGUCCCAUCACCCCAUCGUACCAUCGUCCCAUCGUCCCACAGUCCCGUCGUCCCUUGAUUCCGACGCCUGAUCACCCCGUCGUCCCAUCG
RNAcentral lists this long non-coding RNA (1315 nucleotides) under Felis catus (domestic cat). RNAcentral describes it as "lncRNA (ENSFCAG00000047329.1)". Lineage: Eukaryota; Metazoa; Chordata; Mammalia; Carnivora; Felidae. The record is from RNAcentral.